This 100-nucleotide transfer RNA is filed under the name Planctomycetota bacterium. RNAcentral's name for it is "Planctomycetes bacterium (bioreactor metagenome) tRNA-Met". The stretch from base 30 to 96 matches the Rfam family "tRNA". From Rfam's summary of the family: Transfer RNA (tRNA) molecules are approximately 80 nucleotides in length. Their secondary structure includes four short double-helical elements and three loops (D, anti-codon, and T loops). Lineage: Bacteria; Pseudomonadati; Planctomycetota. The record is from RNAcentral.
GGCGGUGUUCGCACCGUCCCACCACUUCUGCGGUGAGCUUUGGAAGCUCGCGGGUUUCAUACGCCCGCCGAUGCCGGUUCGAUUCCGGCCACCGCUUCCA